This is a long non-coding RNA of Spinacia oleracea (spinach), 527 nucleotides long. RefSeq lists it as uncharacterized. The record is from RefSeq and is a predicted model, not a curated record. The transcript has 3 exons. NCBI's taxonomy places the organism in Eukaryota, Viridiplantae, Streptophyta, Magnoliopsida, Caryophyllales, Amaranthaceae.
CUUAACUUAUAUAAGAAAGAGAUUAUGAAAUAUAUCAAUAUACUUAGUUUUCCAAAUUUAUUACUCAAAAUGGAAGGACAAUUAGUUUUUUACAAAUCCACAAAGAAAGUAGUAGCCAUUUUUUUCAUCCUAACUCUAGCCAUGGCUGGUAAAGCGGUCGGUAAUUCUUGUACUAAGGACGGAGAAAAUUGCCAUCCUACUCAAGGCACAAAUUGUUGUCCUGGAUUUGCUUGCGACGAAUCUCAACUUACUUGUUACACUUUACCCCCUGGGGUGUCCUCCUGGUGCGCAGCAGCCGGACACCAUUGUAGUAUGUUUGGUAAAGUGUGUUGUCCCGGACACCAAUGUACAAGCUCUUUUAGAGGGCAUUGUGAUAUAGUUAAUGCAUAGGGGUUUUUCUUAAUUUGUUAUGCAUUAUAAAUUUAGAUUUCCUUUGUAGAUAUUGUAUGAUUUUACUAUAAAAAUAAUAAUACCCCGUAAUAUAUAUUUAUCUAUGUUGGUAUUUUAUAACAUACAUUUUUGUACCA